This 253-nucleotide ribosomal RNA is filed under the name uncultured bacterium. RNAcentral's name for it is "partial 16S ribosomal RNA". It matches the Rfam family "Bacterial small subunit ribosomal RNA", at positions 524 to 776 of the family's 1533-position model. The record is from RNAcentral.
UACGGAGGGGGCUAGCGUUGUUCGGAAUUACUGGGCGUAAAGCGCACGUAAGCGGCUUUGUAAGUUAGAGGUGAAAGCCCGGGGCUCAACUCCGGAAUUGCCUUUAAGACUGCAUCGCUCGAAUUGUGGAGAGGUAAGUGGAAUUCCGAGUGUAGAGGUGAAAUUCGUAGAUAUUCGGAAGAACACCAGUGGCGAAGGCGACUUACUGGACACAUAUUGACGCUGAGGUGCGAAAGCGUGGGGAGCAAACAGG